CCGGUGUGGGUGUGACGUACCCGGACGAGACGCGCCGUACCCGGAUUCGACAAGACGACGCUCA
This 64-nucleotide non-coding RNA is filed under the name Myxococcus stipitatus. Lineage: Bacteria; Pseudomonadati; Myxococcota; Myxococcia; Myxococcales; Myxococcaceae. The record is from RNAcentral.